GAUUGUGUUUGAGGGACACACCCAGAAAGGAACAUUAUUCGUUCUAUCAGAAGCACACGCUUUGAUUUCUAAUGUCAACAAGGUCUGACAGGAAGGUCUUUGGGGAAACACACUGGAGCUCCAAUGCACUAUUCCGGAGAGAGAAAGGACAUGAUUGAUGCCAGCGAAUCCCUAAAUGGUGAAUGGAAGCAACAAUAUGGAAGAUACUGGGAGUAAAGACCAAUGCUAAUGAAAUGAUUUGGAAGAUUCCACUAAUACAAAUGAAACAAAUACAGUUCUUAUGCUGUACAGGCAAGGCAAGGGAGUUUUAAGAACUGGCCUAGGAAAAGUGCAUCUUUCAAAGUGUCGACUGGUAAAACUGAUGAGAUCCAUUCAUAGUUCGAGUAACCUUUGUUGUUGCAGCAGCCAGUGCUCAGAAAUUAACGUGUAAGGUGCUUCAACAGUUUCUAUUUGAAAUGCUUAUUUAUACAAGUCU
Molecule: long non-coding RNA, 475 nt
Organism: Carcharodon carcharias (great white shark)
Lineage: Eukaryota; Metazoa; Chordata; Chondrichthyes; Lamniformes; Lamnidae
Exons: 3
Source: RefSeq, a predicted model, not a curated record